AGCCCUGUAGCUCAAUGGUGGAGCAACUGUCCUACAAACAGAGGACCACAGGUUCAAAUCCUGUCAGGGCUACCA
This 75-nucleotide transfer RNA is filed under the name Nostoc sp. 106C. RNAcentral describes it as "tRNA-Val". It matches the Rfam family "tRNA". From Rfam's summary of the family: Transfer RNA (tRNA) molecules are approximately 80 nucleotides in length. Their secondary structure includes four short double-helical elements and three loops (D, anti-codon, and T loops). The record is from RNAcentral. Lineage: Bacteria; Bacillati; Cyanobacteriota; Cyanophyceae; Nostocales; Nostocaceae.